GGGAAACAAAGAUUCAAUAAAUGGAUCUAAUUAAUCUUUCGGGUUUUGGUUGAACCAAAAAGAAGCUAAUAUCAUCACAAGCCACCAUUGUACGGAUCCAUAACUCCAUUGCGAGUGAAUGUGAUGUCCAAACCAGUCGUUGUGUGAGGGGUUAUCUCAUUUUUACCAUUAAUGCUGCUCGGGGGCUGGUGCUGCCGGUUUGGAAUCCUC
RNAcentral lists this unclassified non-coding RNA (210 nucleotides) under Hevea brasiliensis (rubber tree). Lineage: Eukaryota; Viridiplantae; Streptophyta; Magnoliopsida; Malpighiales; Euphorbiaceae. The record is from RNAcentral.